Gasterosteus aculeatus aculeatus (three-spined stickleback) is the source of this 395-nucleotide long non-coding RNA. The record is from Ensembl. Lineage: Eukaryota; Metazoa; Chordata; Actinopteri; Perciformes; Gasterosteidae.
UGUGUGUGUGUGUGUGUGUGUGUGGAUGGUUAAGGGGGGGAUUGGCACUGGGUGAACUCCCCUCACCCACCAGCAUACACAGACACACACACACACACACACAGAGUGACCCCACGUGCCCUGGAGGGACUGCAAGUGCACAGCCAGUAACCAGACAAGACGGGAGUUCAUCUCCCCUGCCAGUGGACGGACGGAAGCCCUGGAGGGACACACUCGCACCAGCGACGCAAACUUGUCUUUUCGUCAGCACCAGAGUGCCAUCUUCCGUUAUUCCCGUCCUCUCCUCGGCUGUCCCUCCUCUGCCUCGGUUUCCCCAUCUCCCGAGUCCCCUACAAUCUUUACGAGGCUCAGGAGAGCUUUGACAUUCCUAAAUGAAAAGGCUCUCUUUGCGGCAC